This 1446-nucleotide long non-coding RNA is filed under the name Homo sapiens (human). RNAcentral describes it as "long independently transcribed non-coding RNA 2503, transcript variant 1 (LINC02503)". The record is from RNAcentral. Lineage: Eukaryota; Metazoa; Chordata; Mammalia; Primates; Hominidae.
AAGUCCGUAGUUUACAUUAAGGAAGACUCCUGAUGUUGUACACUCUAUGGAUUCUACAAAUGUAUAAUGAGACAAUCAAACUUCAGAUAAUCAUGCAACAAGGUUUCCAGCCAGUUCCAGGUGUAGACACCACUCCCAGCCAUCAAGAAACUACUGUCAAGGCAAGGGUUCUGUGAUCCUCAAUAGGGUAAAUGCUGGAGGGGCUCCAAUUUGGAAGUGUUACAUUAUCAAGUUAAAUCAUAAGAGCAAUUUAUAAAAGAGAUAGCUUGGAAUUAAACUACAAAAGCUGCUUAAGGUAAAAUAUGCGAGGGAACUCUCUUGUUGCCAUUGUGAGACCCUGGAGAACAGAUGGAACCAACUCUCAAGCUUCUGCUCGGGCAGAAAUAAAGAUGUUCUUUGAAACCAACGAGAACAAAGACACAACAUACCAGAAUCUCUGGGACACAUUCAAAGCAGUGUGUAGAGGGAAAUUUAUAGCACUAAAUGCCCACAAGAGAAAGCAGGAAAGAUCCAAAAUUGACACCCUAACAUCACAAUUAAAAGAACUAGAAAAGCAAGAGCAAACACAUUCAAAACCUAGCAGAAGGCAAGAAAUAACUAAAAUCAGAGCAGAACUGAAGGAAAUAGAGACACAAAAAACCCUUCAAAAAAUUAAUGAAUCCAGGAGCUGCUUUUUUGAAAGGAUCAACAAAAUUGAUAGACCGCUAGCAAGACUAAUAAAGAAGAAAAGAGAGAAGAAUCAAAUAGAUGCAAUAAAAAAUGAUAAAGGGGAUAUCACCACCGAUCCCACAGAAAUACAAACUACCAUCAGAGAAUACUACAAACACCUCUACACAAAUAAACUAGAAAAUCUAGAAGAAAUGGAUAAAUUCCUCAACACAUACACCCUCCCAAUACUAAACCAGGAAGAAGUUGAAUCUCUGAAUAGACAAAUAACAGGCUCUGAAAUUGUGGCAAUAAUCAAUAGCUUACCAACCAAAAAGAGUCCAGGACCAGAUGGAUUCACAGCCGAAUUCUACCAGUGGUACAAGGAGAAACUGGUACCAUUCCUUCUGAAACUAUUCCAAUCAAUAGAAAAAGAGGGAAUCCUCCCUAACUCAUUUUAUGAGGCCAGCAUCAUCCUGAUACCAAAGCCGGGCAGAGACACAACCAAAAAAGAGAAUUUUAGACCAAUAUCCUUGAUGAACAUUGAUGCAAAAAUCCUCAAUAAAAUACUGGCAAACUGAAUCCAGCAGCACAUCAAAAAGCUUAUCCACCAUGAUCAAGUGGGCUUCAUCCCUGGGAUGCGAGGCUGGUUCAAUAUAUGCAAAUCAAUAAAUGUAAUCCAGCAUAUAAACAUAACCAAAGACAAAAACCACAUGAUUAUCUCCAUAGAUGCAGAAAAGGCCUUUGACAAAAUUUGGCACUCUUGUUCUUUCAAAUAAAUCUUUUUUCCUACCCUGCUGA